This is a long non-coding RNA of Eurytemora carolleeae, 410 nucleotides long. RefSeq lists it as uncharacterized. Lineage: Eukaryota; Metazoa; Arthropoda; Copepoda; Calanoida; Temoridae. The transcript has 3 exons. The record is from RefSeq and is a predicted model, not a curated record.
UAAGAAGUGGUUUUUGACUUCUCUCAGCCUUAUAUUACUUAAUUCAAUUCAAUGGAUUGAAUGAAGCUAAAUUGUCAGGAUUACGUUCUCAAAAUGACUUAUCUUUAACUUGGGUCUCUCCUAUCAAACGCUUUUUGGAGACUCUUAUUUAUGUAUUUAUAAAAUAAAACAUAAAUAAAUAAAAUUAGAAAAUGGUAGAUUUGACCGACCUGGAUGAGAUGAUAAAGAGAAAUGCUGAAGGAUUAUUAUAUCAUAAAUCUUGUUAUUUCUGUGGCUGCGGAUCUAUUUUAUCAUCUCUAGAGCAUUUAUCAGACCAUCUCGGAAGUGACCAUGAAGAAAAUGCUAGCAGUAAAUGGCUUGAUAUUCGUGAAGAUUUACUUCGCCAUUUUAAAAAUAUUUUUAUUCAUCAA